AUGACUAUUCCGCUGCACAAAUCGACAUCAAGUUGGACGAUACCAACUAUGCUCUAUGAUCCCAAGUUGUUGAGAUGUUUAUCUUUGGCAAAGACAAAUUGGGUUACAUCACAUAGACCUUCCACAACCAGAAUUGACGGAUCCUUUAUACUGGCGAUGGAGGACAGAAAAUUCCAUUAUCAAGGGAUGGCUUAUCAACUCCAUGGAACCGAGAUUGAUCGAUAA
Molecule: non-coding RNA, 225 nt
Organism: Vicia faba (fava bean)
Lineage: Eukaryota; Viridiplantae; Streptophyta; Magnoliopsida; Fabales; Fabaceae
Source: the annotation of a GenBank genome assembly